This 2927-nucleotide ribosomal RNA is filed under the name Bacillus velezensis. Its description in RNAcentral is "23S ribosomal RNA". It matches the Rfam family "Bacterial large subunit ribosomal RNA". The record is from RNAcentral. Lineage: Bacteria; Bacillati; Bacillota; Bacilli; Caryophanales; Bacillaceae.
UUAAGUUAGAAAGGGCGCACGGUGGAUGCCUUGGCACUAGGAGCCGAUGAAGGACGGGACGAACACCGAUAUGCUUCGGGGAGCUGUAAGCAAGCUUUGAUCCGGAGAUUUCCGAAUGGGGAAACCCACCACUCGUAAUGGAAUGGUAUCCAUAUCUGAAUACAUAGGAUAUGAGAAGGCAGACCCGGGGAACUGAAACAUCUAAGUACCCGGAGGAAGAGAAAGCAAAUGCGAUUCCCUGAGUAGCGGCGAGCGAAACGGGACCAGCCCAAACCAAGAGGCUUGCCUCUUGGGGUUGUAGGACACUCUGUACGGAGUUACAAAGGAACGAGGUAGAUGAAGAGGUCUGGAAAGGCCCGCCAUAGGAGGUAACAGCCCUGUAGUCAAAACUUCGUUCUCUCCUGAGUGGAUCCUGAGUACGGCGGAACACGUGAAAUUCCGUCGGAAUCCGGGAGGACCAUCUCCCAAGGCUAAAUACUCCCUAGUGACCGAUAGUGAACCAGUACCGUGAGGGAAAGGUGAAAAGCACCCCGGAAGGGGAGUGAAAGAGAUCCUGAAACCGUGUGCCUACAAGUAGUCAGAGCCCGUUAACGGGUGAUGGCGUGCCUUUUGUAGAAUGAACCGGCGAGUUACGAUCCCGUGCAAGGUUAAGCAGAAGAUGCGGAGCCGCAGCGAAAGCGAGUCUGAAUAGGGCGAAUUGAGUACGUGGUCGUAGACCCGAAACCAGGUGAUCUACCCAUGUCCAGGGUGAAGUUCAGGUAACACUGAAUGGAGGCCCGAACCCACGCACGUUGAAAAGUGCGGGGAUGAGGUGUGGGUAGGGGUGAAAUGCCAAUCGAACCUGGAGAUAGCUGGUUCUCUCCGAAAUAGCUUUAGGGCUAGCCUCAAGGUAAGAGUCUCGGAGGUAGAGCACUGAUUGGACUAGGGGCCCCUACCGGGUUACCGAAUUCAGUCAAACUCCGAAUGCCGAUGACUUAUCCUUGGGAGUCAGACUGCGAGUGAUAAGAUCCGUAGUCGAAAGGGAAACAGCCCAGACCGCCAGCUAAGGUCCCAAAGUAUACGUUAAGUGGAAAAGGAUGUGGAGUUGCUUAGACAACCAGGAUGUUGGCUUAGAAGCAGCCACCAUUUAAAGAGUGCGUAAUAGCUCACUGGUCGAGUGACUCUGCGCCGAAAAUGUACCGGGGCUAAACGUAUCACCGAAGCUGCGGACUGUUCUUCGAACAGUGGUAGGAGAGCGUUCUAAGGGCUGUGAAGCAAGACCGGAAGGACUUGUGGAGCGCUUAGAAGUGAGAAUGCCGGUAUGAGUAGCGAAAGAGGGGUGAGAAUCCCCUCCACCGAAUGCCUAAGGUUUCCUGAGGAAGGCUCGUCCGCUCAGGGUUAGUCGGGACCUAAGCCGAGGCCGAAAGGCGUAGGCGAUGGAUAACAGGUUGAUAUUCCUGUACCACCUCCUCACCAUUUGAGCAAUGGGGGACGCAGGAGGAUAGGGUAAGCGCGGUAUUGGAUAUCCGCGUCCAAGCAGUUAGGCUGGGAAAUAGGCAAAUCCGUUUCCCGUGAAGGCUGAGCUGUGAUGGCGAGCGAAUUAUAGUAGCGAAGUUCCUGAUUCCACACUGCCAAGAAAAGCCUCUAGCGAGGUGAGAGGUGCCCGUACCGCAAACCGACACAGGUAGGCGAGGAGAGAAUCCUAAGGUGAUCGAGAGAACUCUCGUUAAGGAACUCGGCAAAAUGACCCCGUAACUUCGGGAGAAGGGGUGCUCUGUUAGGGUGCAAGCCCGAGAGAGCCGCAGUGAAUAGGCCCAGGCGACUGUUUAGCAAAAACACAGGUCUCUGCGAAGCCGUAAGGCGAAGUAUAGGGGCUGACGCCUGCCCGGUGCUGGAAGGUUAAGAGGAGCGCUUAGCGUAAGCGAAGGUGCGAAUUGAAGCCCCAGUAAACGGCGGCCGUAACUAUAACGGUCCUAAGGUAGCGAAAUUCCUUGUCGGGUAAGUUCCGACCCGCACGAAAGGCGCAACGAUCUGGGCACUGUCUCAACGAGAGACUCGGUGAAAUUAUAGUACCUGUGAAGAUGCAGGUUACCCGCGACAGGACGGAAAGACCCCGUGGAGCUUUACUGCAGCCUGAUAUUGAAUGUUGGUACAGCUUGUACAGGAUAGGUAGGAGCCUUGGAAACCGGAGCGCCAGCUUCGGUGGAGGCAUCGGUGGGAUACUACCCUGGCUGUAUUGACCUUCUAACCCGCCGCCCUUAUCGGGCGGGGAGACAGUGUCAGGUGGGCAGUUUGACUGGGGCGGUCGCCUCCUAAAAGGUAACGGAGGCGCCCAAAGGUUCCCUCAGAAUGGUUGGAAAUCAUUCGCAGAGUGUAAAGGCACAAGGGAGCUUGACUGCGAGACCUACAAGUCGAGCAGGGACGAAAGUCGGGCUUAGUGAUCCGGUGGUUCCGCAUGGAAGGGCCAUCGCUCAACGGAUAAAAGCUACCCCGGGGAUAACAGGCUUAUCUCCCCCAAGAGUCCACAUCGACGGGGAGGUUUGGCACCUCGAUGUCGGCUCAUCGCAUCCUGGGGCUGUAGUCGGUCCCAAGGGUUGGGCUGUUCGCCCAUUAAAGCGGUACGCGAGCUGGGUUCAGAACGUCGUGAGACAGUUCGGUCCCUAUCCGUCGCGGGCGCAGGAAAUUUGAGAGGAGCUGUCCUUAGUACGAGAGGACCGGGAUGGACGCACCGCUGGUGUACCAGUUGUUCUGCCAAGGGCAUCGCUGGGUAGCUAUGUGCGGACGGGAUAAGUGCUGAAAGCAUCUAAGCAUGAAGCCCCCCUCAAGAUGAGAUUUCCCAUUCCGCAAGGAAGUAAGAUCCCUGAAAGAUGAUCAGGUUGAUAGGUCUGAGGUGGAAGUGUGGCGACACAUGGAGCUGACAGAUACUAAUCGAUCGAGGACUUAACCAA